Molecule: long non-coding RNA, 11011 nt
Filed under: Homo sapiens (human)
Lineage: Eukaryota; Metazoa; Chordata; Mammalia; Primates; Hominidae
Description: non-protein coding MIR583HG:34
Source: RNAcentral
ACUAGAGUUUUGCUCCUGGGACGGGACGUCCGAGAGACCAAGAAAUUCUCGAGUUCUCUUCAGAGACCAACUGGGGAUCAACAAUUCAAUUUAAUUCUGACACCCAAGCUUUUGGUUCCAGAGGGCCAUAGUCUUCAUAUACUUCAGCACUCCAUGAAGGCUUUCUUGGUACUGUUCAAAGGCCAGAGGAUCUACUACCACAGAACCAUUCUAGAUGUGAGUUCCUAGUGUGAAAGGACUGGGAGUUAACAGAAGAGCCACAGUGAGCUUCCUGUGGGAAGGUUUGGAUCCAGCCUGCAAGAGCCAUGAUUGUAGGAGUAUAAUGAUAACUGAUGUUUAUACAGUACUUUACAAUUUUCACAAGGAUUUCCAUCUAUUGGCUUCUCACUACACCAUUAUUACCAUUCCCACUUCACAGGCAAGUAAACUGAGUCACAGGUAAGCAAGGCUAACAGAGUUUGCAUAGAUAAUCUCACAGAGCUAACACCAGAACUCAGGUCUGUAGUGCUUCUUCUACCUUCCACUUAUGUGGAAUAGUUUGAUGUUUAAUAUUUUAAGCAGGUAAGUAUUUGAGUCCUCUCUACCCCUUACCAGCACUGUUACCUGGAAUAGCUCCUGAAUCUUCAGCUUCCUCAUGAAACAGAGGAAAUAAUACUAUUUAUGAGAUUUGAAUGGACUAAAUUAUGUAAAGCACUGAGAACAUUGCUUAGCCCAUAGUAAGUACUCAAUAAAAUCUAGCUGUCAUUAUGAUUGGUCUGUCUUCUGCCAUUUUCUUUGCUUUGCAUUGAAGAGAACUGUCCAUGAUUUUAGAUUACACUCAGAAGCCCUAUGUUUCUAGGUUUAUGUUAUCCUAAAAUGUUAUUACCAUUUGUUGCUUUGGUAAGACUAGGAACUUGGAAACUACGUGAGUUAAAUGGACAGUAUCCCUGGCAUUAAUGCCCAACGUAUUGUAGGACAAUCAUUUUCAGAUGGUUUACUAUGCAUAAUACUUACGUGGAUUAAGUAUCAAGGUAGUUUAAAGUGCAGCUUCCUAAGCAUCGCUCCUCCCAUUCUGAUUCUGGAAUGGCCUGAGGCCCAGGAAUCUACAAACUUCUACAGGUACCCUUGGAGGUCGUAAGGAGCGCUGUGAAAAGCCUUAACUGGCAUUGGCAUUUACCCUACCACUGCUGCUGCUGUUGCUGCUGCUUCACUUUCUUUUUCUCCUCUUCUUCCUCCUGAUCUACCUCCUGCUUCUUUUUCUCCACUUCCUCUUCUUCCUUCUUUAUUAUUGUCAUCACCGUCAUUCUCUUCAUUCUCUUUGUCUUCCCCUCCAUUUCUUCUCAUUCUUUUCUUUUUUCUCCUUCUUCUUUUUGUAACCAUUUCUAAUAGACUACUGGAGGUUAUUUUCCACUGUUAGGGUAGCUCUAUUAUUAUCUCUUCAGAGAAAAUGCCACUGAACUUGGGGGAAAAAAACAGAGUAAUGACUCAAUGAAAAUAUGUUUAUACAUAACUUCCCAGGAGCCAAUUAGGAAGAUAAUCAUUAGGUUCAGGUGAUCCUUUGCUCAUGCAUACAUCUGUAAGGCUCUGGCCCUCUCACCAAGAGUAAAAUAGCCCAUUCUUGUUUCCAGAGCUUAUUAAUGCUGGAUUCAAAUAUAAUGCCCUGAAAGUACAUUUUAAAACCUUUCCUAUGAAGAUGCAUAACUAGACGCAGGAUCAUUAUUCUUACAAUCCAAUAAAAUUUAUGUAUAUCAAUCUUUUGCUUCAAGCCAGCCAGGCACUCCAAGAACAAUGUUAACAGUUUCUACAUCCUGCCCCAACACCCAACCUAUUACAUCUAGAUUCUGGGAACCUAGUCAAGAAAGCCACAUGCCAAUUUUGAAGCUACUUAAACUAAUCAAUUGUGAUCACCAAUUUGGAUACUAUAUCUGUAUAGCUUCAAAGAAAGUAUAUGUUUUGUAAUCACCGAAUUUAAAAAGUAUAAAUAGGCAUUGAAGUAACUUUAUCAGUGGUUAUCGAUUAUUGCUGCACUUAGUAUCUUGAAAACAACACUGAUGCCCUGGCCCUAAGCCCACAGAUUGUGAUUUAAUUGGUGUGGCAUGGGUCACACCAGGUGAUUCUAUUGGGCAUCAUUGAUAUACAUGAAUCAAAUUUAUUUAACAAUUGCCUACGCUCUAUAUCCUUCUGCAAGUCACGGACAGAGAUUAACCCUAGAAGUAAAACGAAGCAGAGAAUUUUAAGAAUACUUUAGUCUCAACUACAUGCAUAUUUUAGGGAAAGUGAAAUAUUAAUCUAGCAUUUCUUCUUAACUAUCUCAAUUCUCUAUUUCAUGUUGCUAGGGUAUACUUGAUCUUGUCAAAAUUUUUCCAGCAUCUAAUAACACAUAGAACCUCAAGGGCAUUCCAAAUGAAUCACAGCAAUAUAAGAAAUGAAGGAAAAAGCAAAUUAAGUUUGGUCAACAAUUUCUUUUGGUUGAAUCAGAGGUGUCACAGAAGCAGCCACAGGGAUUGAGAGUCCACCCCACCUUGCCCCUUAUGGAGCUUGUAAAGACUAACUGGACUGACUCACAUAAAGGGGCAUUCUUUGCACUAGUCUGUGAGUCUAGGUUAUGCCUUCACUUCUCAUCAAAAAUAGGGGCAUUGAGAUCAUGACUUGCUAAUAAGCCUCAUGUAACAGAUUUUUCACUGUAUUGGUGAUGGAAGUAAGACUCAUUUAAUUUAGUGUUUGAGAACUUGCUACCUGCCUUGAUGUUCUGACACUUAAAGUUUUACUGUUUUCUAUGUUUUGAUGUUUAAAGAACUGUAUAAAUUGAAUUAUUCUCUCAUUUUAUCUCAAGCUGUACAAUCUGCUGGUUUCUGUAAUUUUAAAUAUCCUCUUUCCUUCAAAUAUUACCACCAAAUCAUUGUCUAUAACAGAUAAAAAUUAUUCUUUAUCUUAUUUACUUUUUUCUUUAUGCCAAAAUUUCUGAAAAUUUUUUCUCAACUAGAAUUAUUUUCUCCAUCAUAUUGUUAAUUUCUAAAAUAUCAGUUUUAUUUUAUAAAUGUUCCUUUUAAUUUCUUCCUGUUCUUCUCUCAUGGUUAUAAUAUCUUCUCAUGUCUGAGAAUAUUAAUGCUAGGGGGUUUUAUUUGUUUGCUUGUUUUGUUUUAUUUAUUUUUUUAUUUUUUGCUUUUUUUCCUGCAAAAAUAAGGUGACCACUAUGGUGUUUUUUCCCCUAUGGUUCAGUCCCUUUUCUCAUGGUAAAGACAUUCCUCCAAUUUCCAGUUAUCCAUGUUGCUAGAUCACAGUUGAGAGCGAGAAAAGAAAAUCCGUAAUCAUUUAAAUGGGAACUGGCAACUGUGAGUUUUGCUGCAGGAUGGCCUGGCCAGAUAGAAGAGUUGAGAAAACCUCAAUGCCAGAGUCUUUAAGUCUUUCCUCUUGGGUUAGUUGGAUUCCAGAGAGAAGACUCCCUGACCUGCAAUCUUCAGCAAAAAGGGCCAGCCACCAGAGGAAAAGGACAAGAACCCUGAGGACUGCACUCACUGUGCCUCACUUAGUUCCGUGUUUCAGUGUGAAGCCUCCACACUUAACUGUGCCUGGUGUCUCUGGGGAAAACACCUUCAGUCUCUUUGCUGGGUGACAAAGGGAUGGUUUUCUGGCAAUAAAAAGUGAUGAGAGAAGCUGGGGAAGAUUGCUUCUGAGGUACACACACCAUGGUGGUGUGUACCUGUGGUCCCAGCUACUACGCAGGCUGAGGUGGGAGGAUGGCAUUAAGGCCAGGAGUUCAAGGCAGUAGUGAGCUAUGAAAGAAAGAAAAAGAAAGGCUUUAUGUAGCAACUUUAUCUUCUUGCUCUGCAGAAAAGAACUGGACUCAUUGCCCAGACACAUAAUGGUUCCCUUUUGAAUGUAUUCUAGACCUCCAUGGGCAGUCAUCUGAAAUGGUUCCUGUUUUUCUAACUUUACCUCUCUUUUCCUCUUCAUACAGUUUCUUCAUAGAUUUUAAAAAAUCUUUUCUCUUCUCCCAGUGUUCCACUCUUCUAUUUUGGGAGCAUGCCACGGCUCACUCUGGAAUUCUUAAGUUCCCAGUCAGGUCUUGUCCUGUAAAUUUCCUCAGUCUUGUGCAUUUUCUGCAGAUCACUGGCAUUCUUUUUUCUGCUGUUUUUGAUGCUGGGUUCUGAACAAAAAGAAGCCCAAUGUCCAUCCCAUGGUACGUGUGAAUCUGGGUAAACCCGGGGGUAAUGGAGGUGAAGUGUUCUACUUAGAACUGCAAAAUAAUCUUUUUCUUUUGAGGCAGGGUCUUACUCUGGCACCCAGGCUGGAGUGCAGUGGCAGAUCUGGGCUCACUGCAGCCUCGACCUCCAGGACUCAAGCAAUCCUCACACUUCAGCCUGCUGAGUAGCUGGGAUCAUAGGCAUGUGCCACCACUCCUGGCUAAUUUUGUUUAUUUUUUGUAGAGACGGAGUCUCCCUAUGUUACCCAGGCUGUUCUCAAACUCCUCAGCUCAAGCUCAGACUUCCAAAUGAUAUAGUGACUCUCUUUAAAGUGCUGCGAUUACAGGCAUCAGCCACCAUGCACAGCUCCAAAAUAAUUUUUAGUGUACAAAAAAAAAAAAAAAAUCACAGAACUCCGUAGAUUACCUUUCUGAGACAACCCCUCAUUUGGUCUACAUAAGAAUCCUAUAUUCUUAUUGUUAAUAUAACUUGACUUUAUUGUGGUACAAGAACUAUUUUUUCAUAACCAUGUAUUACAUUGCAAACCGCUCUACCAUUAACAUGGCUUUAAGGGAUAUCAUGGCCAAUUGUGUCUCUGUAAUUUUGGGGCUUUUUUCUGUGUUUGCAGAAAGGAGGGACUGGACAGCCCCAUCACUCAUAUGUUUGUGGCAGGAUGAAAUUUUGAGAUAUUAACCAGGGUUCCCCAAGCUCCUUUCCUACUCAGUCAGCAGCAGGAAUUGCUUCAGAGAGGAUGCAGGGUUUUAAACCAAGAACACAAAAGGAAAAUAAGCAGUCGGUGCUCAGCUUUUGCAUCUCUAAAAAUAAAAUUUAAAUCUCACUGUGGAGAUGGAAAUCUAUAAAGUCAAGGUCAUUGAUAUUCAAGAUCCAGUUUCUUUUGAGCAGCAAGAAGCCCAGCCCAAAGGAAGUCAGGCAUAAGGUUUGUGCCAUAAGCAAUGGAAUGGAAAGAGAAUAGAUGAAGAGUCAGGCUGCCGUAUCCUAGAGACUGGAUAAAUGUUGCCUGGGCUAGAAAAAAAGAGUUACCUUGAAGAAAAAGCAUCUGUGGAAUAUGAGCAUGCCACCUCAGUUUCUGUCCUCAUCAGACCAACAUCUAGAGAAGAAAGAGGGUUACUGAGCUUCCUGUCGUUUGGGGGAUUUGGGAGGAAAGGUAGGAUCCUAAGUACUCAACAAACAGAAAAUCACAAGCACUGGCCAAUUAGAAGAGAUGCCCAAUUAAUCCAAAUGAUCAUUCUGGUGCAUGUUGGUUAAAUUACGGACCUGGAGAGGGCAUGAAUGCCUGGCUCCCAUCGGAGAAUUCAGUGUGGCAGCACUCUUGGAUAGGUGCUGCACAGCAUGGUGGCAAAGGAGGAAUUAAGCAAAAUGAGCCCAGGCGUAAGAAGCCAUGAGACACAGCUUUGAGUUUCUCUCAGACUUGCAAGUGAUACAGUGACAGCUGAAAGCAUGCAGGCCCUAGGGGCCUUGGAUGUGGCUGAGAGAGCACCAGUGGACUUGAGGAAGCUUAAACCCAUGUUAGGACCUCAGGCAGUGGCAGAAGUCAUGGGCAUAAGGACCAAUUUCCAGAGACUAGGAAGUUAAAUAGCAGCUGAUGCCAGCAGAAGGCACAGAAUAGCCACCGACUACAUAUACCCAGCACACACAAGUGUGCACACACACUCAUCCACAUACACACCCAUCCACACACUCACACACAUCCACACACGUGCCUGCAUGAGCCCUCUGUGGAAUUUAAAUGUUACUCACGGGCAGAAAAUAGACAAGGGCAGAACCUUAAAAUUGCCUGAGUUUAAAAUGAAAAUGACUGAGGAAUAAUUUGACUGGGUUUACUUGGGAACACUUGGUCAAAGCUUCUGAUUUUAGAAGGAAAUAUGAGUUACAAUAAAAAUUACAUUUAUUUAUAGGAAAGUAAAGUAUAUGUUACCCCUUGGAUGCCUACUCAAGCAUGUGGGAGUUGUGUGUGUGUAAAAUAUAUCACAUAUAUUUUUAAUAUAUGUGAUAUCAGCUGAGGUGCCCUGUCAGUGACAUUCUAAUUAAAUUGGCUCUAAUGCUGUCCACUGUGUGUUGAAACCCCAUGUCCGCUCUGAUCUUUAUGGAAAACAUAAAACAAGAAGUAAAAACCUGCCCUGCUAGAACAGCUCUGUCCUACAUCAGUGAUUUUCAAACAUUUUGAGUGCUGGAGACAUCAUUCUGGAUGGAACUCUCAUAUGUUAAAAAAAAAAAAAAGAUAAAACCAGGGCCAUUCUGGCUGUGCAGAGAUGAGGGACAAGAAUCAGCUCAGGGCAUCUGUCUGGAAUAUUUUUAUGCAACUGAAAUGCCCUUACAAAGAAAGGCAUUUUGAAAGCUACUGCUCAUUGCUAUCCUAGGUGAAUUCCAGAAAGCGUAUUAACAUGUCUGGGGGCUAUAAAUCUUAAAGCCUUAGGUUUGACUCCAAAUGGAACAGGAAAUCUAUGCAUAAAAUAUUUCUAAUUAUGUCCCUUGAGGUUUUGAGGCUAAGUGUUUGUGAUGCUAGAUUUAAAGGAUAAGUGAAAGCAAGUGACCAAAUGUUUUGCUCUGGCAUUUGAAGACCAUCCUGUCAGCUAUCCAAAAAGCAACUUGCUAUAUUUCAUUCAUUCAUUCAUUCAUUCAUUCACUCAACAAAUGUAUAUCGCGCUUUUAUCAAGUACUAGGCACUGUGCUAGCUGCAAUGGAAACAGUUUCCGUGCCCCCUAUUGACUGUUAUAGCUUUACAUGAAUUCUUUGAACUAUAAUGUUUCUGCUGCUUUCUGCCUUUUCAGAACAGAACAAAUUGAAUGUUUGAAUGUAUUUCUGUUAGUGUGCAAACUCUUGAAGCUCUUGGUGGGUUUAGUCACUUUCAGGAAGAUCAAUACAGACACUCUAAAUAUCUAGAGUAUGCCCAGGUUUACCAUAUUCACAUAAGGGAGGAGUCUGGGCUAGUAUACUGGACCAUAAACAUCAUAUCACUGAUCAAAAAAUGUAGUCAAGCAGAGCUCUUCAAAGGCAUUUCUAUUUGCUGCCUAACUGGAUCAUAUGCCAUUUAAAAAAUGCAACCAUUCCCCAGACCUAAACUCCCUGGAUAAAUUGUGAAGAAAAAUAGUAUCUUUAAAAAUACUUAGUGCUUUAUUUAUUUAGUUUAUACACCUAGUUAGAUCAAUUACUUCUGCUAGGCUUAUUAUGAAAAACAACAAUUCUCUGCCCUCCCCAGCCUGCCCCAUAUCCAGCUUCUCCAAGACAAUCAUCCCACUUUCAUAGCUUUCAGCAUUUUGCCUCCAUAUCUCUAAAUAAUAUCAUUUUCCUUUUUCUUGAUUGUUUUAGUUUUAGGCAUUAUGUAGUCUAAAAGCCCCUCUCUGCUUAACCACCAAUGCAGUCUUGCCAUCCACAGUAACUUCUGCCCCUUCAUAGUUGUAUCACAAUUCUGUAUAGACACAUACUCAGUGUUCACAUCAGGGGUUCCCAACCCUAAGGCCAUGGAACAGUAAAGGUCCGUGACCUGUUAGGAACCAGGUGAGCUGCCAGUAAGGUGAGGUGCCAGUAAGCAACCAUGCCCACCUGAGCUCCGCCUCCUACUGCACAUGCGAGGAAUCUGGGUUUCAUGCUCUUAUGAGAAUCUAAUGUCUGAUGAUCUGAGAUGGAAAAAUUUCAUUCUGAAACCAUCCCCCAACCCUGCACACCAUCCAUGGAAAAAUUGUCUUCCAUGAAAUCAGUCCCUGGUGCCAAAAAUAUUGGGAACCGCUGGUUUACAUGAUUAGGCUAUGUAAAGCCUAUUCACUCCUGAGGUAUAUAAUUGACUAUGAUUGCUUUUUUCUUCUUAAAUACUUUGCCAUGUGUAUUUUUGCUUAGUUUUCUAUGUAUUUCUCACCAAUUCAACCCUAAAUUCUCAGCCAUUUGUCCAAUCUUCUCUCACUAUGUUCAAAUGCGUUAUGUAAUCCAUCAAUGCCAUCUUCCUGGGAACAUUUUCCACAGCCUGCUGGCCUCCUGGACUGUUUGGACAGGACUCUCUUUAUGUCUGUUGCACCUUGGUGUGAGAACCCUUCACCAUCAUCAAGGAUUCUCUUACCACUCUCUUAAGAUGGAUUCAAUAUUCUGGACCCUAUAUCUCCUGCCAUCUUGGUAUUUUCCCUUGUUUUUAUGGAGCACUUUUUAAAGUAGAUUCCUGAGAAACAGUGUAUGUCUGAAAAUGCCUGAAAUGUACCCCCAUAUUUGAUUUCUCAAAGAACUAAAAAUAGAAUUACCCUUUGAUCCAGCAAUCCACUACUGGGUGUCUCCCCAAAGGAAAAGAAAUCAUUUUUAUCAAAUGCACUUGUAUGUUCAUCACAGAGCUAUUUACAACAGCAAAGUCAUGGAUUCCACCUAAGUGCCCAUCAAGAGAUGACGACUGGAUUUUAAAAAUGUGAUAUCUAUCUAUCUAUAUAUCUGUAUCUGGAGAUAGAUAUAUACAUCAUGGAACACUACUCAGCCAAAAAAUAAAAUAAAAUUAUGUCUUUUGCAGCAACAUGGAUAGAACUGGACAUCAUUGUUCUUAGUGAAAUGACUCAGAAGCAGAAAGUUCAAAACCUCAUGUUCUCACAAGUGGGAGCUAAACAAUGGGUACACACAGACAUACAGAAUGAAAUAACAGACACUGGAGACUCCAAAAGGUGGGAGGGUGAAAAGGAGGUGAGGGUUGAAAUACUACCUAUUGGGUACAAUGUACAUUAUUCGAGUGAUGGAUAUUCUAAAAGCCCAGACUUCACUACCAGGCAAUAUAUCUAUGUAACACAACUGCACGUGUCCCCCUAAACCCAUAUAAAUAAGUAAAUAAUCCUCAUAUUUAAUUAAGGGAUAGGCUAGAUAUACAAUUCCACAUCAGAAAUAUAAUUUUCCCUGAAUAAUUGCAAACAUUGCUCCAAUGCCUUAAUGCUGACAAAUUUUUUGUUGAGAAGUUCAUGACUAUCUUCUGUAUUUUCUUUCUGAAGGCUUUUGAAAAAUUAAAAAAUGCACCCCUAACAUUCUGAAAUUUCACAAUGAUGAGCCUCAGCACAGGUCUAUUUUCAUCCUCUGUGCCAGACAUUUAGGGUAUCUUUCAAUCUGGAAGCUCAUUUUUAUUUCUGAGUCCCAGGUAGCUAAUCUUAGCAGUCACUCAAUAAAUGAUGAUUGAAUCAGACUAAACUGAAUAAGAGUUCAUAUAAAGAAAAUUCCCUCCUCCUGGGAUGUCCUGCUUCUACAGAAUCUUCAUAAAGUGACAUUCUGCCCAUCCACCAAGAUCUGACCUAUGCCCUCCUAGAUUCCUCCAAUCUUUCCUUGCAGCACUUAAUUGCACCUACCAUUUGCUCCUGUGAUAUCUGUUUAAUUGCUUAUACGAAUUCUACGUAAUCUUAGACUGUACACUCCUGGAGGGCAGACACCUAGUCUUACACAUCUUUGUGUACUAUCUACCACCUCCAUACUACUUCCAAGAAUCUAACCCAGGGCUUAGCACUAUGCAGUUCUUAAUAAAUGUCUGUUGAAUGAAUAAAUAAAUAAGUAAAGUAAUACAUAAAAGAAAUUAGAAAACUAGUGCCUUUCAGAAAAAAUCCUGUCACACAAACCUGACAAAAACAAGCAAUGAGGAAAGGAUUCCCUAUUUAAUAAAUGGUGUUGGGAAAAUUGGCUAGCCAUAUGUGGAAAACUGAAACUGGACCCCUUCCUUACAACUUAUACAAAAAUUAACUCAAGAUGGAUUAAAGACUUAAACAUAAGACCUAAAACCAUAAAAACCCUAGAAGAAAUCCUAGGCAAUACCAUUCAGGACAUAGGCAUGGGCAAAGACUUCAUGACUAAAACAUCAAAAGCAAUGGCAACAAAAGCCAAAAUUGACAAAUGGGAUCUAAUUCAACUAAAGAGCUUCUGCACAGCAAAAGAAACUAUCAUCAGAGUGAACAGGCAACCUACAGAAUGGGAGAAAAUUUUUUCAGUCUAUCCAUUUGACAAAGGGCUAAUAUCCAGAAUCUAUAAAGAACUUAAACAGAUUUACAAGAAAAAAACAACAACCCCAUCAAAAAGUGGGCAAAGGAUGUAAACAGACACUUCUCAAAAGAAGACAUUUAUGCGGCCAACAAACAUGAAAAAAGACUCAUCAUCACUGGUCAUUAGAGAAAUGCAAAUCAAAACCGCAAUGAGAUACUAUCUCACGCCAGUUAGAAUGGCGAUCAUUAAAAAGUCAGGAAACAACAGAUGCUGGAGAGGAUGUGGAGAAAUAGGAACACUUUCACACUGUUGGUGGGAAUGUAAAUUAGUUCAACCAUUGUGGAAGACAGUGUGGUGAUUCCUCAAGGAUCUAGAACCAGAAAUACCAUUUGACCCAGCAAUCCCAUUACUGAGUAUAUACCCAAAAGAUUAUAAAUCAUUCUACUAUAAAGACAUAUGUACAUGGAUGUUUACUGAAGCACUGUUCACAAUAGCAGAGACUUGGAACCAACCCAAAUGCCCAUCAAUGAUAGACUGGAUAAAGAAAAUGUGGCACAUAUACACCAUGGAAUACUAUGCAGCCAUAAAAGAGGAUGAGUCCAUGUCCUUUUUCACGGACAUGGAUGAAGCUGGAAACCAUCAUUCUCAGCAAACUAACCCAGGAAUAGAAAACCAAACACCGCAUGUUCUCACUCAUAAGUGGGAGCUGAACAAUGAGAAUACAUGGACACAAGGAGGGGAACAUCACACGCUGGGGCCUGUUGCGGGGUAGGAGGCCAGUGGAGAGAUAGCAUUAGGAUAAAUACCUAAUGUAGAUGACGUGUUGAUGGGUGCAGCAAAGCACCAUGGCACAUGUAUACCUAGGUUACAAACCUGCACAUUCUGCACAGGUGUCCAGAACUUAAAGUAUA